AUGCUAUAAGUUUUCUUUGAAUUGCCUUUUGAGUCAUUAUCAGUUGUAAAGUAAUUAUGUAUAUGCUGUCACUUUUAUAAUUUUUGUAAAAUACGUGAUAUAACUUUAUGUCUUUAAAUAAAGAAAUAAAAUAUUUCUGUAUUGGUUGUUUGUGUUAUUUGUGGCUAAGGGUUCGAUAUGGUUUUUUGUGAUUGCCUCUUGCAGCAAAGCUCUGUCUGGAGGGAUGUUGUUUGCACGGUCAGCUUAUUUGUUUCAAUGAAAUGAGGGUUAGGUGCGAGGCGUUUCAUCAGCGAUAUAAUAUUGCUUCAUUUUGUAGUAGGGGAAGCUGAUUGUUUCUGUUCCUUCAGAAUAAUUUAAACAAUAUAUCACAUUUGAAGAUAUAUGUUCUGAUGUUAGGUUGUUGGAUAUAAGGAAAAUGUUAAAACAAUUCACAGCCAUCUCAGACAUUAGAAGAAGCAGGGUUGAGCCGCCUGAGGGAUUGCAGUAAGGUGUGAAGGGCCCCAUGGCUGGGUUGCAGGAUUGGCAGUGAAUCAGAUAGCCAAAACAUGGUUUCUUCAGGGUAUUUUUGAGGGUUGUAGUUGUGCAUUAAUUUACAUCGCAGUAAAGUGAGUGCGCAUAAAAGACUUCAUGAGAGUUGCACUGGGCUCUUGGCUCAGGUUGAAGUUUCCAAGGAUGUCUAGCUUGGAGAUUACGGGUUGUUAAUGUACUUUUAUUUCCUUCUGUUAUUGUUGUCACUGUAUCCGGAACAAAGGUGUGGAAUUCUAUUAUGGGAGGAGGAUUCUGGGAAUUGAGGGGUUAUNN
Molecule: long non-coding RNA, 801 nt
Filed under: Phoenix dactylifera (date palm)
Lineage: Eukaryota; Viridiplantae; Streptophyta; Magnoliopsida; Arecales; Arecaceae
Description: long non-coding RNA (PDAC_LNC001628)
Source: RNAcentral